AACGAACGCUGGCGGCAUGCCUAACACAUGCAAGUCGAACGGUAACAGCGGAGCUUGCUCCGGCUGACGAGUGGCGCACGGGUGAGUAACGCGUGGGAACCUGCCCUGGAGUGGGGAACAACCGCUGGAAACGGCGGCUAAUACCGCAUACGCCCCUUGGGGGAAAGCUUUAUGCGCUCUAGGAUGAGCCCGCGUCGGAUUAGCUUGUUGGUGAGGUAACGGCUCACCAAGGCUACGAUCCGUAGCUGGUCUGAGAGGAUGAUCAGCCACACUGGGACUGAGACACGGCCCAGACUCCUACGGGAGGCAGCAGUGGGGAAUAUUGGACAAUGGGGGCAACCCUGAUCCAGCAAUGCCGCGUGUGUGAAGAAGGCCCUCGGGUUGUAAAGCACUUUCACUCGUGAAGAUGAUGACGGUAGCGAGAGAAGAAGCCCCGGCUAACUCCGUG
RNAcentral lists this ribosomal RNA (448 nucleotides) under uncultured bacterium. RNAcentral describes it as "bacterial SSU rRNA". It matches the Rfam family "Bacterial small subunit ribosomal RNA", at positions 29 to 507 of the family's 1533-position model. The record is from RNAcentral.